RNA transcript from Aethalodelphis obliquidens (Pacific white-sided dolphin), 2397 nucleotides. It is a transcript of the gene named radial spoke head 3, with no coding region annotated. The transcript is spliced from 9 exons. NCBI's taxonomy places the organism in Eukaryota, Metazoa, Chordata, Mammalia, Artiodactyla, Delphinidae. The record is from RefSeq and is a predicted model, not a curated record.
CUCCGCGGGGGUCUGCCACGCCCGCCUCCUUCACGCGCAGGUGCAUCUACAAGGUAGACUUGGGUGGGCGGAGUCAAGACCGGAAAUGCCCCGGCGCACUGGUCUUCCCCCGAAACCCUCCAGCAGGAACUUCCCUGAGGUCCCGCUUCCAGCCGGAACGCUGGGUUGCUGGGCAACCGGUGCGGGUGGCGCCGGCGGGCUCAGUGCUGCACCGAGUAAGCCGAGUGUAGCUCCCACCUCCUGCCCUGGCAACUUCCCGUCCCGCCCGCUUCCCUUCUUGCCGCCUCUCCUUUCGUCGCGGAAUCCCUGCCCUUGGCACUACGUGCACCUCUCCGGCUCCCACGACACUUUUGUGGCCACCUGCUUCGAACCCAAACUUCACCGAAAGCGAAGCGGUCUGACCCUGGGCGUGGCCUGCACGUUGGCGGACCGCGCCUCUCCAGCCAUGGCCACCUACACCUACACCAGCCGGCCCCGGGCCCUGCCUGGCCGGCGCCGCUGUUACCGGGACGACCAGAUGCAGCAAGCUGAAGAACCUAUGCAUUACGGAAACAUAAUGUAUGACAGAAGGGUGAUCCGAGGCAACACUUAUGCUCUGCAGACAGUACCACUGCCUGAGCAGCCCGAUCCUGCAGAGAUUCAGAGACAGCAGCAGGCUAAGAGGAGGGCUCUUGCCAAAAAACGAGCCCAAGAAGAGCUCAGACCACGAACGCCCGAACCCGUGGAAGGCAGAAAGCAUGUAGAUGUACAGACAGAAUUAUACCUUGAAGAAAUUGCUGACCGCAUAAUAGAAGUUGAUAUGGAAUGCCAAACAGAUGCAUUUUUGGACAAACCACCAACACCGCUCUUUAUUCCUGCCAAAACUGGCAAAGAUGUGGCCACCCAAAUUCUAGAAGGAGAGCUCUUUGACUUUGAUCUUGAAGUUAAACCAAUGUUAGAAGUUUUGGUGGGAAAGACCAUCGAGCAGUCUCUUCUGGAAGUAAUGGAAGAAGAAGAGUUGGCGAACCUGCAGGCCCGUCAGCACGUACAUGAGGAGUUACGCAACGUCGAGCUUGCGGAAGUUCAGCGACUUGAAGAGCGGGAGAGACGACACCGAGAGGAAAAAGAACGUCGUAAGCAGCAGCAGUGGCAGGUGGUUCACAAGCAUAAGGAGACUGCACAGAAAAUCGCCGCCCGAGCGUUUGCACAGCGUUACCUGACCGACCUUCUCCCUUCUGUUUUCAGCAGCCUCAGGGAUGCAGGCUACUUUUAUGAUCCUGUUGAAAGAGAUAUUGAGAUGGGAUUCCUUCCAUGGCUAAUGAAUGAAGUUGACAAAGCCAUGGAGCGCAGCAUGGUUGGAAGAACAGUGGUUGACAUGUUGAUCCGUGAGGUGGUUGGGAAACGACUGAGUCUGUAUGAGCGUAAGGAGGACAGGCACUCGUCUCUGAAACCUGAGGAUGGGCUCAGUGGUCCUGGAGGAAUGAGAGACCCACCGGUGGGCUACGAGUUCCAGGAUCACGGUGCAUCACAGGCACAGAGGCCACUUCCAGACACAGACUCCCUGCAAAGAACACCAUAUGAUGCAAUGUAUAUGGAGAGAGUGUCAUCCCAAGACAGGAAGCUUAUGGAAGAAGAGGAUGAGCAAACAAAUGAGGAAAUCCUUCAGGAGUGAAGAACUGUUGCAAUAGAGGGGAGCUUCGGAGCCGUGGAACCCAGCAGCAGCCAGUCAGCUUUGCGAGCAAUCAGGUUGUGUGGAGUCCAGAGGCAUUAAGAGGGUGUCAGAAAAGCUGCUUCCUGAAGUCUGCAGACUGGCUGUCCGUGCUCUACCAAGGGAAGAAAAAUGGAAGACUUGGAUCUGGUCUACGGUUCUCCUGAGUGGUGGUAUUGCCCAAGCACAUGCCAUGGUAAGGUAUUUUACUAGCUCUGCUUUACCCAGGAUUAGAACUUCAGCUGCACUUGUGGGUUUUUAGGGAAAUUAUCUUGCCAGACAUCAGUCCUUGUUCUCUGACAGUAAACAAAUGGUUCCAGCAGCCUGGGGGAUAAUUGUCACACUUAUUAUUAUUACACAGUAUUAUAAUAUGUUUAGACUUGGACUUUUGUCUAAAAACUGCAAGUUUAAGGCUUUUUACUGACAUUGCUCACUUUACUGUGAAACACACGAUAAGCCUCUUUGCUUUACUUGGGAGUUUAUAGUAAUGGCUCGUUCAAGGUCCUAGCCAGUUUGCAUUACAGAACGCCACAGUCACUAAAGGGACACAUUUGAACACAAGCACAAUCGAUAAGAUGAAGGCUGAGUGUUCCUGCCGAAGGAAUCAGUAGAGCACAAGAAGUGCACACGGUGGCAUGAACACCUGAAGAUCGGUUCAGAGGUACAUCUGAGCUAGGAAAGGUGCUGGAUACUGACUCUGUAAUGGCUGU